This 28-nucleotide small RNA is filed under the name Bombyx mori (domestic silkworm). Its description in RNAcentral is "ovarian small RNA-20337". The record is from RNAcentral. Lineage: Eukaryota; Metazoa; Arthropoda; Insecta; Lepidoptera; Bombycidae.
UACAGUUAAUGGCGCUAUUAAGAGUUGC